UGUACAGUCACUAUUUUGUAAGGAAAGAAAGAUCCUGAGAAGCCCGCGUACAAGCGCUCUUUAGUGGAAACAGUGGUUUGGAAAUGUGUGAACAAUCCAUGUUGUGUACAGUUUGCGUUCGUAAAUGAGUAAUAGUAACGUGUCAGGGUUUGAUGAACAACCCUCCAGAUAAACCACUGACAGAAAGUGGGUUUUAUUUCCUUCUGACAGCAUUUCUGCAUGUAGAUGCCUGAAUGAACUGACUUCUCUCAGAGCGACUUUUCUCCACUUACCGUACAUUAGUCGUCAAUGUUGGUGUCUUCAUGAUUUAUUCAGUGUCAAAAUGUUUGCUGAGAAAUACAGGAGAGACAGAGUUCAGAGGAAGCUGAGGCGGCCUCCUGACCGCAGAGAAGCAGUGCCAAAGCCACAGUCAGACAACAGAUCGCAGCCGAGGCCAAACGGCAGUUAAUACGACCAGCGUGGCUGAGAGGACAGAGGAGCAGCGUGGAGCAGUGUGAAAGUAUCUGUGGAUAUUUGUGACUGAGAGGCUGCAGGUCGGAGCUCAGCGGAGUCCUGAACACACUGCAAUGAAGCUCUGUCUGAAUCCAACACCUCUGUUUGGGCAGACCUCUGGCCGUUCAAGGAGACACGGGUCACUGCCCUCUCCCCCCCCUCACAGGAUGAUGGUUUGCGGAUGUCCGCUCGCUGUGCCGGACAUUUCUCUCUCUCACCUGGGGGUGAAGGGUACGAGGUUCAAGGAAGCAGGAUUACACCGUUUGCCAAAUACCUGGCGAAACCGCAGGAAACAAAUGCUGCAUUCAGAAAAAAAUGAUUUAGGAUAAAGAAAUACAACCUGGGUAAUUGACAAAACAACAAAUGAAUCUAGUUAUUUUCCUUCUC
Long non-coding RNA from Thunnus maccoyii (southern bluefin tuna), 879 nucleotides. RefSeq lists it as uncharacterized. The record is from RefSeq and is a predicted model, not a curated record. NCBI's taxonomy places the organism in Eukaryota, Metazoa, Chordata, Actinopteri, Scombriformes, Scombridae. The transcript is spliced from 3 exons.